Non-coding RNA from Taeniopygia guttata (zebra finch), 914 nucleotides. The record is from RefSeq and is a predicted model, not a curated record. NCBI's taxonomy places the organism in Eukaryota, Metazoa, Chordata, Aves, Passeriformes, Estrildidae.
UCUUGUGUUGUUGUGUUUUUUAAACAGCCCAAAGAUAAAUUACUGUCAUUAAAGACAAAUCCUAGACAUGUGCCUGACCCAUGAAGUGUCUCACUCAUCGAAAGAAAACAAGGCUGUGAGCAAAACACCGACCUGGCACCUUGGGAAAAGCCAACAGGAGCUCUAGAGGCUGAAGGAGGGAGAUAGAUUUAUUAGUUACCCAGAGAGCCUCCUGGCCAAUGCAAGGAUACUUGAAGCAUGCCCUUAGCACAUCCCUUUUUCUGGCUCUGGCUGGAGGAGAGAUGUAAGUACACACACAUAUGUACACACUGUGCAUUUGCAGAGUUUCUAGUUAUUUCUUUUGUCUAAUUAUGGAUAGAUGAAGCCAAGUUGCCUGAGGGAGAGAAAUGGAAUAAAAAGGAGAGGGCUUAGAAGGGGAAAAAAAAAAUAUUAAGAGGCUAUUCUAUUUUAAGGCCUAAAGUUGUCACUAGAUCACCUAGUUUAUACUUUGAAGUGCAGGCCAAAUAAUUUUGUUCAGUUUCUUUUUUCCUGGGGCCAAAUGCUUGAGUGAGGUGGGUCUGGACCAGAAAGGCUGGUGUUCCCAUGAUUUACAGAUUUUUCUGUCUCUUUUCUGGGGAAACUGAGAUGACUAUAAUUCCAAAUAUAGUUGUAUCUGCUUGAAGUAGCUCCUGUAAAAUCUAUGAUCUCUUCUGAUUUUCUCCCUUUCUUGUUAGAAUUAUUUUUUUUCUGUGUGGAAAUUUUAUUACUUCUUUGAUUUGAAGCCAUUUAUUAAAAAAACAAAACAAAACAAAACAAAACAAAAAAACUAAAAAUUGAGAUUUUACUAAAAGCACUUUGGGGAAAGUAUCUGAGCAGUCUGACUAUUCUUAUUAGUCCCUGUUUGUAGUGCUACUUUUUAUGAAAAUAAUAAGCAA